GCGCACGCUGGCGGCAGGCCUAACACAUGCAAGUCGAACGAACCUUUCGGGGUUAGUGGCGGACGGGUGAGUAACACGUGGGAACGUGCCUUUAGGUUCGGAAUAACUCAGGGAAACUUGUGCUAAUACCGAAUGUGCCCUUCGGGGGAAAGAUUUAUCGCCUUUAGAGCGGCCCGCGUCUGAUUAGCUAGUUGGUUGAGGUAAUGGCUCACCAAGGCGACGAUCAGUAGCUGGUUUGAGAGGAUGAUCAGCCACAUUGGGACUGAGACACGGCCCAAACUCCUACGGGAGGCAGCAGUGGGGAAUCUUGCGCAAUGGGCGAAAGCCUGACGCAGCCAUGCCGCGUGAAUGAUGAAGGUCUUAGGAUUGUAAAAUUCUUUCACCGGGGACGAUAAUGACGGUACCCGGAGAAGAAGCCCCGGCUAACUUCGUG
Molecule: ribosomal RNA, 433 nt
Filed under: uncultured bacterium
Lineage: Bacteria
Description: partial 16S ribosomal RNA
Rfam family: Bacterial small subunit ribosomal RNA
Source: RNAcentral